RNAcentral lists this non-coding RNA (1626 nucleotides) under Saccharomyces cerevisiae (brewer's yeast). RNAcentral describes it as "ribosomal RNA". It matches the Rfam family "Bacterial small subunit ribosomal RNA". The record is from RNAcentral. Lineage: Eukaryota; Fungi; Ascomycota; Saccharomycetes; Saccharomycetales; Saccharomycetaceae.
UUUUAUAAGAAUAUGAUGUUGGUUCAGAUUAAGCGCUAAAUAAGGACAUGACACAUGCGAAUCAUACGUUUAUUAUUGAUAAGAUAAUAAAUAUGUGGUGUAAACGUGAGUAAUUUUAUUAGGAAUUAAUGAACUAUAGAAUAAGCUAAAUACUUAAUAUAUUAUUAUAUAAAAAUAAUUUAUAUAAUAAAAAGGAUAUAUAUAUAAUAUAUAUUUAUCUAUAGUCAAGCCAAUAAUGGUUUAGGUAGUAGGUUUAUUAAGAGUUAAACCUAGCCAACGAUCCAUAAUCGAUAAUGAAAGUUAGAACGAUCACGUUGACUCUGAAAUAUAGUCAAUAUCUAUAAGAUACAGCAGUGAGGAAUAUUGGACAAUGAUCGAAAGAUUGAUCCAGUUACUUAUUAGGAUGAUAUAUAAAAAUAUUUUAUUUUAUUUAUAAAUAUUUAAUAUUUAUAAUAAUAAUAAUAAUAAUAUAUAUAUAUAAAUUGAUUAAAAAUAAAAUCCAUAAAUAAUUAAAAUAAUGAUAUUAAUUACCAUAUAUAUUUUUAUAUGGAUAUAUAUAUUAAUAAUAAUAUUAAUUUUAUUAUUAUUAAUAAUAUAUUUUAAUAGUCCUGACUAAUAUUUGUGCCAGCAGUCGCGGUAACACAAAGAGGGCGAGCGUUAAUCAUAAUGGUUUAAAGGAUCCGUAGAAUGAAUUAUAUAUUAUAAUUUAGAGUUAAUAAAAUUAAUUAAAGAAUUAUAAUAGUAAAGAUGAAAUAAUAAUAAUAAUUAUAAGACUAAUAUAUGUGAAAAUAUUAAUUAAAUAUUAACUGACAUUGAGGGAUUAAAACUAGAGUAGCGAAACGGAUUCGAUACCCGUGUAGUUCUAGUAGUAAACUAUGAAUACAAUUAUUUAUAAUAUAUAUUAUAUAUAAAUAAUAAAUGAAAAUGAAAGUAUUCCACCUGAAGAGUACGUUAGCAAUAAUGAAACUCAAAACAAUAGACGGUUACAGACUUAAGCAGUGGAGCAUGUUAUUUAAUUCGAUAAUCCACGACUAACCUUACCAUAUUUUGAAUAUUAUAAUAAUUAUUAUAAUUAUUAUAUUACAGGCGUUACAUUGUUGUCUUUAGUUCGUGCUGCAAAGUUUUAGAUUAAGUUCAUAAACGAACAAAACUCCAUAUAUAUAAUUUUAAUUAUAUAUAAUUUUAUAUUAUUUAUUAAUAUAAAGAAAGGAAUUAAGACAAAUCAUAAUGAUCCUUAUAAUAUGGGUAAUAGACGUGCUAUAAUAAAAUGAUAAUAAAAUUAUAUAAAAUAUAUUUAAUUAUAUUUAAUUAAUAAUAUAAAACAUUUUAAUUUUUAAUAUAUUUUUUUAUUAUAUAUUAAUAUGAAUUAUAAUCUGAAAUUCGAUUAUAUGAAAAAAGAAUUGCUAGUAAUACGUAAAUUAGUAUGUUACGGUGAAUAUUCUAACUGUUUCGCACUAAUCACUCAUCACGCGUUGAAACAUAUUAUUAUCUUAUUAUUUAUAUAAUAUUUUUUAAUAAAUAUUAAUAAUUAUUAAUUUAUAUUUAUUUAUAUCAGAAAUAAUAUGAAUUAAUGCGAAGUUGAAAUACAGUUACCGUAGGGGAACCUGCGGUGGGCUUAUAAAUAUC